AUACAUGACAGUCGAGCGGACCGACGGGAGCUUGCUCCCUUAGGUCAGCGGCGGCCGUGAAAGUAACACGUGGGUAACCUGCCUGUAAGACUGGGACCUCAUAAAAAAACCGGGGCUAAUACCGGAUGCUUGAUUGAACCGCAUGGUUCAAUCAUGAAAGGCGGCUUCGGCUGCCGUUCUCGAUAAACCCGCGGCGCAUUAGCUAGUUGGUGAGGUAACGGCUCACCAAGGCGACGAUGCGUAGCCGACCUGAGAGGGUGAUCGGCCACACUGGGACUGAGACACGGCCCAGACUCCUACGGGAGGCAGCAGUAGGGAAUCUUCCGCAAUGGACGAAGAGUCUGACGGAGCAACGCCGCGUGAGUGAUGAAGGUUUUCGGAUCGUAAAGCUCUGUUGUUAGG
Molecule: ribosomal RNA, 402 nt
Filed under: Bacillus sp. PSu3_23
Lineage: Bacteria; Bacillati; Bacillota; Bacilli; Caryophanales; Bacillaceae
Description: bacterial SSU rRNA
Rfam family: Bacterial small subunit ribosomal RNA
Source: RNAcentral